Long non-coding RNA from Aethalodelphis obliquidens (Pacific white-sided dolphin), 1970 nucleotides. RefSeq lists it as uncharacterized. The transcript is spliced from 2 exons. NCBI's taxonomy places the organism in Eukaryota, Metazoa, Chordata, Mammalia, Artiodactyla, Delphinidae. The record is from RefSeq and is a predicted model, not a curated record.
GCUAAGGGAGGAGCUCCUUCGGAGAUAGGUGCUUUCAAACCCCGCUCCCAUUUUAAGCAAGGAUUCUUUUUUCCUGGUUGAAAUGGGUUGCCACAUUUAUAUUGACUCUUUUAUUGCUGUAAAAUGUACCAUUUUGACCACUUUUAAGCGUGCAGUUCUGUGGCAUUAAGUAUCUUUAUAUCGCUGGGCGACCAUCCCCACCCUCCACCUCCGGAACGUUUUCAUUUUCUUAAACUGGAACUGUAUUCCUUACACAGUAACUCCCAAUUGCCCCCUUCCCUUCGUAAAAAUUUAUUUUUAGUUUUAAAAUGAUUCAGGUGUCAGUGAAGAUAGGAGUAUGUGAUAUAAAUUCUCCCACUCUGGGGGCUGCCCCCCCCCAGUUCCGUUCCUGAAAGUAUCAGCAAAUAGCUUUCUUCCCCUUCGGUGUUUCUUGGAGAUCAUCCCCGACGAUCUAGACUUGCCGUAACUUGUCCACCGUGUCCCCUGUUGGUUGGCAGUCGGGUUGUUACCAAUGUUUGGACACAAGCUGCUUUUUUGUGCAAGUGUGAGGUCUUCUGUGGGAGGAAUCCCUGGAAUUGGCAUUGCUGGGCCCAGCAGGAUGUGCCUGAAGUAACGUUGAUAGCUCUUGGCAAGCUCCCUCCGGAAGCUCCAUUGAUCAUUGAAGCCCAGCCACAAAAGUAAGGGAGCCCGAACCUUCCCCGGCACGGCGGCUCCCCCUCUGCCUGACGCGUGAAAAAUGGUAUCUCACUGCCGUUUACAGCUGUGUUUCUGCUGGUGGUUAUUUUAAGGUUUUCUUGGAAUCGCUUUUCGGUUUCAUGCAAAGCCACUGAAACCUUUUUGAAGAGUUGCUGGUGGAUUCCUCUGGACAGCGGUCGCGGUGUGUUCUCUGAGCCACAGAAGAAGGGUCACCCGUGAACCUCAGUGAUUUAUGCUGUGCCGUGGUAGUGAUGUGAGGGACGGCACAGACGUUCAUGACACAUCUGUUUUGCGCCAGGUGAGGAAACAACAGGAAGACACCACCCGGGAACCUGGAAGGGGCUCUCACCAGACACUGAAUCUGCCAGCACCUUGACCUUGGACUUCCAGCCUCCAGAACUGUGAGAGCUCAGUGGUAGUUGUUUAAGCUGCCAGCCUGUGGUGGUGUUUGGGAUAGCAUCUUGAACAGACGUAGACAGUACUACAUGGACGUGAUUUAGAGAGUGAAUUACCAGAUCCCCUUCUAUACCCCCCGCCCAGGUUCCAGCUCACCAAAGGCGGCCACUUUUAAAUCUCUUAUAUUUCUCCGUGUUUCUAAAUAAUCUGCUUCUUUUCCCUCUUUCUUUCUCUCUUUCCUUUAUUUCCGUUUUCGAUGGUGUCUGUUGAUUACCACUAAGUAGGAAUGAGGAAUUCUCUUCCUUCCUCCCCCAUACAGUUAAAUGUUCUCAGUGUUAUGAUGGUGUAAACCAUGUUCACGGUUGAACGUGUAGGCAUAAAUGCCUGACUGUGUGCAUGUGGGCAAAGGGCCCCUUAUGUAGUGGGGAACCUUGAACAAACAAGCCCCCUGAAGGAGGGCUGGACGUAGACCCCCAGGCUGACACCGUGAGCCCCAGGUCUCCUGAAUGGUCAGUCUACAUGCAUGUAUAAGAUAAACUCAUCACAGGGCCUCUAUUUUCUUUUUAUUUCUUUUUUUUUUUUUUUUUUUGUCAGAGAGGUGUGGGUUAAUGCCUGUUGGGUCAUGGUGAGGGUGAGAAACCAGAUGGAGAAACUUUAAGACACACGUCCACACGUUCUGAUUUGCUCCGUUCAAACGUGUUUCACAGGCGUGGUGGUAGGUGCAGGGAAAACGGAGUCAGCUUGAAUUGUCAAGGUCGAGGGGCAACAGCGAAGCCUGGAGCAUCUCCCAUAGUCCUCAGAUUUCCUGUCUUGUUUCAAAGCAUUUUUUUUUCAUGUGGUGAAAUAUGCGUAACGUAAACUUUACCAUCUUAACCGUU